UUUCCUUUUUUUUUUUUUUUUAAAAAAAUCAAUUCUUAUAUGCUUUUAAUGUAGGAUAAAUAUGCAACUUCCGCAAUGGUUUACACUUUUACAUUUGCCAGAUACAAGAUCCUGACUAAUCUUUCAGAAAUAAUAUAAAUCAGAUACAGCCAUAUACUUGAUGAGUUGAUGUCAUCUUCUUCGUUAAAAAUUUAUGUGUCAGGAUAUCCAUGGCAGAUAUCCAAAAUAUUAAUACAGUUGCCAAUGAAAGUAUAACAAAUUGCAGAACUUAUAGCAUUAUGAGACUUGUCUUUCAAUCUGAUUCGCCUUCAUAACUGAAUAUGAAUUUCAUUUGGAGUGAAAAAUUGACAGGAUUGGGCAAAAAAUGUAAAUUCCAUAGGCAAGCUAUGUACUUAUCAAGACUCGAAUAAACUAGCAUCGGCAAAAACUGGGGCAGGAAUGCAGGAUACUGGUUAAGUAUGUCUUUCCAGGAACUUCUCUAUCAAAACUGAGAAUGCAGCAAACCCAGCACAGCCAACACAAGCUGCUUUUGGACCACCUUUUGCAGACAUUGAACCUCCAGUUACACACCCUGCAACAACUGUAUUUGUAACAUCAUGUUUUGCCCGCGCCUUUUCAACAAUGCACUCCGAAGCUGAGAAAAUCAAACCCAUCACUGCAAAUGCCUUACAAGAACUCCAACUUCUUCGCCCCAUUUGCUUUGCAGUAUAAAUGAACUGCUCCCUUGCAGUCAUCUCUUCUUGCAUUAAUGGAUUAUCCAACGCACCUAGAAACAGACCCAUGAACAACCCUAGCCCACCUCCUACAAACAUUUCCAUAGCAAAAAAACAAACACAUUAAGUUAACUAAGCAACCAAGGAAAAGAAAUAGGAAAUGAAAGAGACUGUAUAGUUGAGAAGCAAAUGCAGAACAAGGAAUGUUAAAAAUUUAAAUCGUUUAUACAUGAAUAUUAGAGAAAAUUAAGGCGACAGAAAUACAUUUUUUUUUUAACUGAGAAAUGAAACUUGGUUUAUCUUCUUCAUAAGUCUUUCAUUUCCCCUCAUUCUCUCUUUCACAGACAACUCAUCCACACAUUCAAAUUCUAUCUAUUAUCCAACCACCUAAACCUCAAAUAAGAAUACCAAACAAAAUACUUAUACACCAAUGAAUUCUUCUUCAGUUUUGUUUAUUUGGGAGUCAAACAAAAUUAACCCAUUCUAUCAUUUAAAAUAAUAAUAAAAAAAAAGUAACUUAAGCUUAUGUUGCCAUAAUUGGGAAAUCAUUAGUCAUGACAAAUAAACCAACUCUCACCUGAGGUCAGAAUAAGCAAUUGCUUGGGUUGAAUAGGGACAAUCAUUUCGCCAAAAAAAAAGGAAUAUAUUAUUCAUCCCGACAGGGGAGUGAAAACUUCCUCACCUUAUUCUUUCCCCUAAUCAGUACGAUACAGAAAGAAACAUCUUUCUUAAAAUUAACUUGAAAGUAACUCAAAAUGGGAAAUAUUAGAAAUUAAACAAAACCAAAUGGGACGUAAAAUCCCAAAAAGGAGAGUACCAUAGUCUCACCCAUCACUCCACUUGCAACACUGCGAAUAGCACAAUUGUUCCAGACUUCUUGGGCACGAAUCUCUUCCAUUGUAGGCAUUCUAAAAGGCGGAAUCUGGGGCGUCUCAGGCUCAGCUUCCUUUGAGCUUGAAGCACCAUCAUUCGAUUCAAUCCCAGAACUUGCAGCCAUUGAUAAUCAACUUGAGCACCAAAGUGAGAAAUACAGAAUCACUACCAAAAAAAAGAAAAUAUUUAAUAACACAAUGCAAGAAGGGGCUGUCGAAUUGUGAGUCAUAGGCUUGUUUCGUGAAUUUAGGCGCUUCAAUGCAAACUUCCUUGCACUAGCAAUAUUUAAAAAUUUUCAAGUGAUCUACAAAUCCAAGCUUCAAGAAUAAGAGCAAUUUGCGUAGCCAAAACCCCAGAAAGAAAAAGAGAGUACCUUCACUAUAAGAGGGACUUCAGCAGAAGGGAGAAUUGAAAAUGUUGAGUUUUGUGAUUGGAAACGAAGAAAAGAAAAAACGGAAAGAAAAAUUACUAACAGAUGAAGAAUUGAUUGGAUUUUAUGAAAUAUAAAGAGAAGGAGGAGACUGGAAAUGAGACGGUAGGGCGGCGGCUUCAAAGUGGUGCGGCGGCUGAAGGACUUAAGCUGUUCGUGCACAGGGUUUUUAGCAGCAAAUUGUGAUCGAUUUGAGUGUGUACUCGACUUUAAAAUAAAACGACGUAGUUUAUUUGA
Molecule: unclassified non-coding RNA, 2253 nt
Filed under: Hevea brasiliensis (rubber tree)
Lineage: Eukaryota; Viridiplantae; Streptophyta; Magnoliopsida; Malpighiales; Euphorbiaceae
Source: RNAcentral